CACUAUCUUUCCAUAUCUGUGCCUACUCAAUUGAGAGCAGACUUAGGAGUGUACUUCUAAACAUGUGACACCAGGAAGUUGGCAAACAAAAAAACUUGUGACUUAACUUUGAGAUGUUUGAUCUCAUAUGAUUAAGUUUAAUUGGGUCUAAAAAAAGAAGAUCGAGAAGCUCCUAUGAUUUACAAAUCAAAUCGGUGCAUCCAUGUCUAGUUAAGGUUAUAAGAGGGAAGAUGAAUGGGAUUGUA
RNAcentral lists this long non-coding RNA (245 nucleotides) under Elaeis guineensis (African oil palm). Its description in RNAcentral is "long non-coding RNA (EGUI_LNC003250)". Lineage: Eukaryota; Viridiplantae; Streptophyta; Magnoliopsida; Arecales; Arecaceae. The record is from RNAcentral.